This is an RNA transcript of Pieris napi, 2938 nucleotides long. It is a transcript of the gene named proline-rich protein PRCC, with no coding region annotated. The record is from RefSeq and is a predicted model, not a curated record. Lineage: Eukaryota; Metazoa; Arthropoda; Insecta; Lepidoptera; Pieridae. The transcript has 8 exons.
AUGGGCAAUGGCUAUAAUAAAUAAUUUAUAUUUUAUAAUAUUUCAAUAUUCAUAAUAUUUUUAUUAAGUUAUGUGUAAUUAAAAAAACUCUUUUGAAUAACUUAACCAUUACGUAUUUUAUUGUUAGUUAUAAUGGCUUUAGUUGCGUAUGAUAACAGUGACUCAAGUGAUUAUGAUGAACCUGAAUGUACUGGAGAGACUUCAAAAUUACAAGCUAUACUACCUGAUUUGCCAUUGGCCAAUGGAACAGAAGUUAGGAAUGAAAAAAAUCUUUUUAAUCUCCUUCCUAAGCCAACUAAACAAAAAAUAACAUUAAAGGAGGAUGACGAUGAUAUAUUGCUUAAAAAAGAGAUAAUAAGUGAAGUUAAACCUAAAUCAAGAAUUACUGUACCAUCUCUAGGUGAUUUUAAAGAUAUAGAAGAUACAGUUCCAAGUGCAAAAAGAAAAGUCAGCAAAGAGAAAAAAUCAGGACUCUUAAGUAUUCUUCCACAGCCCAAAAACAGCACAAAAGUAUCAACAAAAAUGCUAAUACCACAAUCUGUAUCUAACAAGCCACCUGCAACUGUAAAGAAGAAAGACUGUGCACCAAGUAUUUUUAAAAAAAACAAGGUUGAAACAAAAAGUGCAGUUAAAACUGACUUUUCAGAUGAAAGUGAUACUGAUGAUUUUCAGAAUGAUUUCUUCUCUAUAAAUAAACCUGUAGAAGUGAUCCCAGAAAAUGUACCUUUUGAUAUUGAUGUUAAAGUUGAACAAUCUCAAAAGGAACCUCGGUCUCUUGAAUCAUAUUUCAAAAAAGAUGAUCAUGUUACAUUGGAACCUGAUUAUCAAGGUAUAGAACCUCAAUUAGUACAAGAAGAGUCUGAAUAUACCAGUAAUCAAUCAGAUGUUAUACCAGUUGAUCCUACCAGUAGUGGAGAUGUAUUGGAUGAAGAAGCUAUCUUAAAACUAUGUGGUACAAGAGGCAAGCGCAAAAGGGAAGAAAUUCAGAUUGUUGAUGUAAAUCAACAAGAAGUGCUUAAAGAUGCAAGAGAAAUGUUACUCAAGGGACUUAUGGAUGACACUACUAAGAGGCAGUCCCAUAGCAAGAAAAAGGGCAAUGAACCAACAAGUCAACAGAAAAGAAAACAUCAAAUUACCUACUUAGCACAUAAAGCAAAAGCAAAUGAAGCAGAAUUACAGAAUCAAUGGGCAAACAAUAGAAUGACAAAAAGACAAACUCAAUCUAAAUAUGGCUUUUAAGAAAAUGAUCUAAGUGCGAAAGUCUGAUGCUAGCUGCCAUCAGACCUGCCACCUCCUACUGUAUAAAGUGUAGGGGUACGAUUUGCAUAGCAUAUUUUUGAAUUGAUUUCAUUAUUUUAAAUUCCUUACCAUGUCAUGACACCACCAAUUUUGCAACUUAAUUUUUUUGUUCUAAUAAUUUUAUGGCCCGAGGAUAUUUAUAACAAAUUUCACGUGUCUAUUUUGUAUUCUUUGUAAUUUAAUAAUUCAAAACUUGAAGGUAAAUUUAUUAUGAUAGCUAUAGAAAAUGAAAUUGUUUGAUGAAAAUGCAUAAAAUCUCCAUGAAUCCUAAAAAAACGUGGUUUAAUACAUCUAAAUCCCAGGUCAGAAUAAUAACUUGUGACUAAAUAGUAGAAGUAAAGAAUGACAUUAAGAGGUGACUUGGGCCAGGUGAAGCAAAUACCGAGAAUAUCCCUCAUAAGGUUCUGCCAGCUUCUUUGCAUAUAAAUGAAAUAAAAAAAAUUGUGCAGGCUAGAUAAGAAUGGCAAUGCUCUCACCUUAAAGUUUUCCUGAAGCUACUUCAUGACAAAGAAGGAACUUUUAUAUGAUAUUUAAAUAAUGGAACAGAAAUAUCAGGGUCCCAGUCCCUGAAACAAUGGGGAAUUAUUUUUGGUUCCCAAUAAGGCAAAGUAAUACAGAAUACAAUAAAAACAUUGUUAUUUGCUGCAUUAGUAGUUAACAGAAAAUCUUCAAAAUAGUUAAAAUGUUACUUAUCACAUUACCUUGAAAAUUAAAACUUUCUUUAAACUAUUUGUAUUUAGGCAUAUAUAAGGCAAUUGGAAAUUUUAGGGCAUAGCCAUAUUUUAAUAAUUAAUUUUUUACUGACAUUCAUAAGUGUACAUUGUCUUACGAAUAUGAAUCUUGAAUUUAAUUUUUAGGAAUUAGAAUAUUCAUAGUUAAUUUUUGUGGAAUAAAUACAAUUUUUUUUAUUUAUUUAUUUAUUUCUAACAAAGUUACAAUUAAAACUAAAUAUGUAUAGUAAACAAAGUUAUCUACAAUCUUCUCGCUUUUCGUGGUCUAGGAGGAUUCCAUGAAACAUGAGUUGCAUCUGUCACUGAUACAACUUGUAAACCACCCAUUGUCAAACCUUUUACAGCAGACUGAAAGAAAAUUAUAUUAACAUUCAAGCUGUUACAUAGUUCUACAAAUUUCUUUACAUUUCAAAGCAGAUAUGCCUUAAGAAUGAGACAAUACUUACUAAUCUUCCAGGACCCAAGCCCCUUACUCGUACUUUAAUAGUUUUAUACCCCUUGUCUAUAGCUUUCUACAAAGGAAAUAAGUAGUUGAGAAACAAUUUUGUAUAUCAAUAUGUAAGGUUUUUUUGUUAGUUUUGUAAUUUAUAUAAAGUACUUACUAAUGCAAUACUUAUAGCAGUAGUCUGUGCAGCAAUGUUAGUGCCUUUUUUUGUAUUUUUAAAACCUUCCAUGCCGCAAGACCGUAUUAUUUUUACAGCACCUUCUGCACUUGUUAAAGUAAAGAUGGUAUUAUUAUGUGUUACUCUUAUGUUACAAAUUGGCAGAUCUUUGUAAAGUAUACCAUCAUGUAAUUCUUUAUCAGAUUCAAGUGUAGGGAAAAUAUUUCGUUUUCUAAAAAAUUAUGAUAUAAUUAUUUAUUAAUAAAUAUGUAUAAGUAAUAAACUCGAAACUAUUGCUCUUUUUUA